Molecule: ribosomal RNA, 425 nt
Filed under: uncultured bacterium
Lineage: Bacteria
Description: bacterial SSU rRNA
Rfam family: Bacterial small subunit ribosomal RNA
Source: RNAcentral
GGGGAAUUUUGGACAAUGGGCGCAAGCCUGAUCCAGCAAUGCCGCGUGCAGGAUGAAGGCCUUCGGGUUGUAAACUGCUUUUGUACAGAACGAAAAGCUCUUCUCUAAUACAGAGGGGUCAUGACGGUACUGUAAGAAUAAGCACCGGCUAACUACGUGCCAGCAGCCGCGGUAAUACGUAGGGUGCGAGCGUUAAUCGGAAUUACUGGGCUUAAAGCGUGCGCAGGCGGUUUUGUAAGACAGAGGUGAAAUCCCCGGGCUCAACCUGGGAACUGCCUUUGUGACUGCAAGGCUAGAGUACGGCAGAGGGGGAUGGAAUUCCGCGUGUAGCAGUGAAAUGCGUAGAUAUGCGGAGGAACACCGAUGGCGAAGGCAGUCCCCUGGGCCUGUACUGACGCUCAUGCACGAAAGCGUGGGGAGCAAAC